AAUACCGCAUAUGGCCUAUGGGUCAAAGCAGCAAUGCGCCAGGAGAUGAGCCUGCGUCCGAUUAUUUAGUCCUUGUUGGUGGGGUAAAGGCCUACCAAGGGUACGAUCGGUAGCUGGUCUGAGAGGACGAUCAGCCACACUGGAACUGAGACACGGUCCAGACUCCUACGGGAGGCAGCAGUGGGGAAUAUUGCGCAAUGGGGGAAACCCUGACGCAGCCAAUCCGCGUGUGUGAUGAAGGCCUUCGGGUCGUAAAGCACUGUCGUAGGGGAAGAAUCAAUGACGGUACCCUACAAGAAAGCACCGGCUAACCCCGUGCCAGCAGCCGCGGUAAUACGGGGGGUGCAAGCGUUGCUCGGAAUCACUGGGCGUAAAGCGUCCGCAGGUGGGCUCGUGUGUCAAGCCCA
Molecule: ribosomal RNA, 407 nt
Filed under: uncultured bacterium
Lineage: Bacteria
Description: bacterial SSU rRNA
Rfam family: Bacterial small subunit ribosomal RNA
Source: RNAcentral